RNAcentral lists this long non-coding RNA (2255 nucleotides) under Podarcis lilfordi (Lilford's wall lizard). The record is from RNAcentral. Lineage: Eukaryota; Metazoa; Chordata; Lepidosauria; Squamata; Lacertidae.
GGAUGAGCAGAGAAGCAAUCCCUGCCACUUCUCCCCACUCGAAAAGCAACCCCUCAAAAGCAACCAGAAUGCAAGGAGGCCAACCCUUCCAGCUUUGCUUUAUUUUUAACUGAAGCAACCACAAAGGCUCUGAUUUUUAUCAGACCAGCAGCACAGUUUUUGUAAUAUAGUUCAUUCACCAUAGCAAGCAGCUAUUUAGUCUAUAUCAGGAAAUAAAUAUAGUACAACUGCAUUCUUCCACUGUGGGGGCAAUAGCAAGUUCAUUGGAAAGCAGAUUUUACUGAAGCAGAACAGGUGGGGGUGUUAAACUUUUUCUCAUACUGUUUUUCAAUCACAUACACACCAAUUAAUUCCACUGUGUUUUUCUGCUGCAGGGCUAAUAGUCGCUUUGUGGGAGGGCUCAACCUCUCCCUCACCCCUCCAGCACCACUAGUCCAAACAAAUGUGAAGCUCCCACAGCUGCAUUAAAGGGUAAAAAAGGUGGGAGAUCCAAUCACAUCAGUUUCAGUUCCAAUGUGCCCUUUUACUCAACUCAUUAAAGGGACUCACCCAUGUCCUCUUAUGCUGAGGUUAAAGCAGGGGUAGGCAACCUAAGGUCCGGGGGCUGGAUCCGGCCCAAUCACCUUCUCAAUCUGGCCCGCGGAUGGUCCGGGAAUCAGCAUGUUUUUACGUGAGUAGAAUGUGUCAUUUUAUUUAAAAUGCAUCUCUGGGUUAUUUGUGGGCAUAGGAAUUUGUUCUUUUUUUCAAAAUAUAGUCCGGCCCCCCACAUGGUCUGAGGGAUGGUGGACCUGGCCUUGUUAAAUCAAAGACUGGAGUUCUGGGGAACUCAAAAGCUUUCCACAAUUUUGAAUCACUUUGCUUGGUUCUAAUAAAGGUUUUGCCCAGCUGGGUUAUGAAAUGCUUUCUUAUGGUCACUGAAGGCAAAUGCUUCUCCUUUGACACCUCCUUUGACAGCUGGUCAGCCCUUGCUAGGUCAAAACGCAAAGCAGCUCAGAUGUAUUGCAACCUGUGGAAACUUUACCAAAAUGCCAGCAGAUAACUCGGGCUGAAGCUCUUGCAAGUAGACACUGCAAAAUGUAAGAUUUGCACUAUGAUUAGAAAACUCCUCCCUUGCCAGCGACCUAAAUGAAAGAGGAGCAUUUGUACAAAUAACAUCUGUCCACGAGGUGGUGCUAAACUGCCACAAGUGGCAAGGCUGGGCAUGAAUCAUUUUCUCAUAUAAAAAAGAGGACAAUGCCAUUUUGGCUAUUACUGCCAACCCACACAGUACAACCUGGGGUGUGGGUGGGUGGGUGUAAGGGCAGUUACUUAGGAAACAAUGAAUCUGACAACUGGUCUCUAGUUGUUUGCCAGAUAUGGCCCAAAAUUAUUUAGAAACUUCUUCAAAACCAUAGUGUGUCUUUUAAAAAGUACUACAACGGCAGAAAAGAAGCUUUGGGAGCUGCAGUUGGGAUCAAAAGAGCAGGCAGAGAACACUGGAACUGGCAGGACCAGUGAGGUCGGAGGUGGCCAAUGCAAAUAUUUAGCACAAAGCAUCUUCCUUUGGUUCAGGAGUCCCUGUUGUCACAGUUGCUUCUCUGCUGGAAGAAAGGUUGUGUGGCCUCCGUUCUCUCCUUACAGUCCUCCUUUAUGGAGAACAGCCAACAUUGCAGUUCACACCAGUUUUAUCACAGUUCAGAGCUGCUGUCACAAUUUCUAGUGUGGGUUCAUACCACAAUAAGUACUCAGCAGUAAACCCGAUUGCAUUCCCUGGGCAUUGCUCCUUAGUAAGUGUAGCUAGCCUUUAAUGUGCUUCACAGGACUAUUCACAAAGGACUCCAAAAAAAUUCCAGACCUAUGCAAAACUAUUGUCUCCCCCCCACCCAACUUAUCCUCUUCUCUGUCUUCUUUCCAGGAUGUGGAAUAAAAUAGAGGAAUAUUAAGUGGACCAGCAGCCUGUUCUCAGUGCCUCCCCCCUCUAACAAGGGAACUUGCCAGAAGUCAAACCAAGGUGGCAGCAGCCAGAACAGGGUCCGGGGUCAACAGCUCUUAGGGCCUGGCUGUUGCUACUCACAGCACAGAUUCAUGAUUCAGAAAUAUCUACCAGGCCAAGGGUGGUAUAUAGAUUUGAUAAAUAAAAUAAAUAAAUGGAAUGGCUUGGCCAUAGCAAUAUUUUGGGGUUGGGGUUGGCUGAGCAGUGUGUAGAACUGGUCAGCCACAGGUUGACAGGAAUGACUCCAGGAGCCCCUCUAAGUUUAAACAGAAGUACAAUGGGG